Molecule: microRNA precursor, 82 nt
Filed under: Anopheles melas
Lineage: Eukaryota; Metazoa; Arthropoda; Insecta; Diptera; Culicidae
Description: mir-7 microRNA precursor
Source: RNAcentral
CGAGUAGCUCUGUUUGCAAAAUUGAGCUACUUUUUACCGCGCGCGACAAAAAGUAGCUCAAUUUUGCAAACAGAGCUACUCU